GCGCAUCUAGUGUAGUGGUAUCAUAGUACCCUCCCACGGUACUAAUCGGGGUUUGAUUCCCUGGAUGCGCA
Non-coding RNA from Picea glauca (white spruce), 71 nucleotides. Lineage: Eukaryota; Viridiplantae; Streptophyta; Pinopsida; Pinales; Pinaceae. The record is from Rfam.